GCCGAGGUGGUGGAAUUGGUAGACACGCUAUCUUGAGGUGGUAGUGGCAACCGCCGUGCGGGUUCGAUUCCCGCCCUCGGCA
This 82-nucleotide transfer RNA is filed under the name Desulfovibrio piger. It matches the Rfam family "tRNA". Rfam says of the family: Transfer RNA (tRNA) molecules are approximately 80 nucleotides in length. Their secondary structure includes four short double-helical elements and three loops (D, anti-codon, and T loops). Lineage: Bacteria; Pseudomonadati; Thermodesulfobacteriota; Desulfovibrionia; Desulfovibrionales; Desulfovibrionaceae. The record is from Rfam by way of RNAcentral.